RNAcentral lists this long non-coding RNA (465 nucleotides) under Nicotiana benthamiana. RNAcentral's name for it is "long non-coding RNA (NBEN_LNC014449)". Lineage: Eukaryota; Viridiplantae; Streptophyta; Magnoliopsida; Solanales; Solanaceae. The record is from RNAcentral.
ACCUGCUUAAAAUAUAAUCCAAACAACUUCUAUAGUUUCGCACCUGCCAAUACUCCAAAUAUGUAUUCUUCCAUUCUCCUAUUUGACUGAGUGAGUUAAAAAAGAAAAGAGAAAAAAAAGACUUCUAAAACUUGUGCAGUAACUAGUUGCAAGGACAUUGACAGGCAGUAAUUUAUGCGUUCAAUAUUCUAAUUUCUUUUAAAUUAUUGGAUAUUGAAUUAAUAAUUUGCAUAUAAUUUAAUAUUUGUUUUUAGAUAAAUACAGAAUUAGAACAAAAAUUGUUAGGUCGGUCAAACCCAUGUCCGAAGGGCUACAUUGAUGGACUGAGAACGAAUGCAGCAUAAUUGAUAUUGUCUUCAAACCGUUUAGUAGUUAGGCAAAGCUAGAAGCUACUCUAUUUUGAGGGAUGAUCAAAGAAUUCCAACAUUAAUCUAAAAUGAUAGUAUAGUACAAUUAAACUAAACU